GACAGAGGUGCCAAGCGUUAGGCGGAAUCACUGGGCUUAAAGCGUGUGUAGGCGGAGCGUUAAGUGCCUUGUGAAAUCCCCGGGCUUAACCUGGGAACUGCAUUUGUGACUGCAAGGCUGGAGUGCGGCAGAGGGGGAUGGAAUUCCGCGUGUAGCAGUGAAAUGCGUAGAUAUGCGGAGGAACACCGAUGGCGAAGGCAAUCCCGUGGGCCUGCACUGACGCUCAUGCACGAAAGCGUGGGGAGCAAACAGG
This 253-nucleotide ribosomal RNA is filed under the name uncultured bacterium. Its description in RNAcentral is "partial 16S ribosomal RNA". It matches the Rfam family "Bacterial small subunit ribosomal RNA", at positions 524 to 776 of the family's 1533-position model. The record is from RNAcentral.